RNAcentral lists this ribosomal RNA (257 nucleotides) under uncultured bacterium. RNAcentral's name for it is "partial 16S ribosomal RNA". It matches the Rfam family "Bacterial small subunit ribosomal RNA", at positions 524 to 777 of the family's 1533-position model. The record is from RNAcentral.
UACGUAGGUGGCAAGCGUUGUCCGGAUUUAUUGGGUUUAAAGGGUGCGUAGGCGGUUUUUUAAGUCAGUGGUGAAAUACUUCAGCUCAACUGGAGAGGUGCCAUUGAUACUGGGAAACUUGAGUACUGAUGAGGUAGGCGGAAUGGACGGUGUAGCGGUGAAAUGCUUAGAUAUCGUCCAGAACACCGAUAGCGAAGGCAGCUUACUAAGGAGUAACUGACGCUGAGGCACGAAAAGUGUGGGGGAUCAAAACAGGG